AUCUUAGUCCUUCACGUUUUUGUUAUAUUAGUUUAAGAAAUCGUAGACAGUAUUAACGGAUUUUUUCGAAGUGUAUCACGCAAUAUUGCUUCAAUAUAUUUUUAUAACUAUCAUAAACAUCUAGAAAUUCAACGCACGGGAUUGAAGCAAAAGAAACGUAUUCUACUGAUAAUGAAACAUUAUUUAAGAGAUCUUAUUAAUUGGAAAUGUACUGCUACGUCUGAUUGCUGUGUAAAUCGCAGUAGUUGUAUCAAUGGUACAUAUCAAUGUGAUCCAGAUUAUAAUUUCGAUGGAAGUUUUACAAUAUGUAUUACAGGACAAUGGAAAAAUAGAUAAAAUAAUUCAACUCAAUAAUUGAGAAAAGUGUUUAAUUUAAGUGUUAAAAUGACUAGAACAAGCAUAGAACGUAUGAGCAAAUCACAGACUGGGAAUUGGGAAAAUACAAUGAUCUAAUUAGCUUAUUUUAUCUUUGACGGUGUAAACAAAUGACGGAGAAAUUGGAAUUUAAUCAGGAAUAAAACUUCUGGAUAAAAAUUUAGUAAUAUAUAAUUAUAUGUAAUGUAUUUCGAUUUUUGUUCUCGUCUUUCAAUCUUUCUUUCACAGGAACGUUUGCAAAACUUCGAUGAAUCGAUUUUCCAUUAAUCGAUGUUGUAACAAUCGAGCUUCUACUGUACUAUACGUUAGAACGAGUUAUCAGCGCGUAUGGUGACGAUUGCCAAGAAUCGAUGCAGUGCUCUGCGCAUUUAUCGAGAGGUAGAAUAUGCAGAAAUGGAAUUUGCGUAUGUGUUGAGGGAUAUUAUUAUAUACAUGGAAAAUGUCGUGCAUAUUUAGGAUUACUCGAAAAAUGCCAAGAAGACGGCGAUUGCUAUGUAAUCGGCCAUUUUCAAACCUCACGUUGCAUAAAUAACAUUUGCAACUGUAGUCCUGGAUAUUAUCAGCGAAAAUAUAGAACUUGUCGUCCAGGUGCGAAAGUGUAUGGCAAAAGAUGUAUCAUAAAUAACGAUUGCAAAGGAUGGACCAACAACUAUACUACGUGUUACGUUACAACUACGUGUAACAACUAUAUAUGUGAUAUUUCGCAGACACGUGAAAAUAUGUCAACACUCUUAUAUAAUAAUAAUAUUGACAAAAAAAAAAUACAAUCAAGAAAGGACAAGAAUGCAAAGUUUAGAGUGUACAUUUUUUAUCCUAAAGAGGAUACAAUAUUUAAAAGAAAUGUUCAAAGGAUGCGGACUGUAAAGAAUUUGGAGAUGCAACUUGCGGAUCUUUGAAAAUUUGUAGAUGUAAUCGUGGAAAUCUUUUCAACUAGAGAGAGAAAUGUAUUCCAGAACUUGGAAAACCAUGUGUAACUGGAGCAAAUGAAAUUCGAAUCGAAGGCUCGGAAUGUCGGAACGGCACAUAAACUGAAGAAAGUUGCUUAAGAUAAUAGAAAAUGUGAAACAGUAACUGUACAAUAUAACGGUACUUGCGAAAAUGAUGUGCAAUGUUAGGCUUUCGGGCUGGAUGCUAUCUGCAAAGAUAAACGAUGUGCUUGAAGUGAGAAAUCUCGGUUUAACGAGACUGAGUUGUUUUGUUGGACAGAAAGAGGGAUAGGUAAAUCGUGUCACCAAAACGUAGAUUGUUAUAUUGAUGGUAUCGACAGUGAUUUUGUGAUGUAAGGAAGUUAUGCUCCUGCCCAACCGGAACUCAUGCAACCAGUAAUAAGACAACUUGCGUGAAAGAUAUAACUGAUCUUGGAGAUAUUUGUGAAGUAGAUAACGAUCGUACAAAACGGAUCAAGAAUGCAAAAUGUACAGACAUGACUUGUGUUUGUAUAGAUAAUUAUUACGAGUUAAACAAGCAAUGCGUGCCUGGUCUCAAUUCCAGUAGUAUUUCCAAUGCUAGUUGUGUACCAAAAGAUUCAAUAUGCAGAUCUAAUGAUUGCAUUUGUAAGGAACAGUGCAUUGCUGAAUUAGUCAACAUGUGUGUUUAAGGUAAGAACCUUCUUUAAAAUAUAUAUCAAAAUGUAACAUAAGUCGUUUAUUUUUCGAAGCGAAAUUUUAUUGAAAAAAUGAUCAUAUUUGAUGGAAAUUCAUCGUUUUAAAUACAAAAGAUAGAUUUUCUUUUACAUCGUUUAAGAUACAUGGAAUAAUACAUAUGUAUGUAACUGCGAAUGUUUACGCAAAUUCAUGUUUUUAUGCAUCUAUAUAAUUAAAAAAGAAGAAUCUAAAUGAAGAUUUGUUUCACCUACUAAAUAUUAUGACUACUUUACUUUCGUUAUUCUAUGCAUUCUGUACAUUUUUGCACUUUUCAAUUCCUCAUAAAUGCACAAACAUCCGCAAGUCUAUAAAGAAUGUAACGUAAUAGCAAGAAAUACAAUUAUAUUUUUUUAGCCCUUUCGUAUGGAAAACCUUGCGAUAAAAAUAUUCAGCGUUUUGCUGCGACUUGUCCUGAAGGUUAUCAUUACAAGUUCAAGAAAUGUUUCAAACGCAAAGGUACGAAAAUAUAUAUGUCGGAGAAAGCUUCGAAGUAUGGGCGUCUGAUGAACCUUCACUCGAAUUCACCAUCGUGGUUAUGUAUUCUCGCUGAUCGUUAUUAGUUCCGAGGUGAUGAUUACAAGAGGUUACAGGUAAUAACGGCAAUCGGAAAAACGAGAGAUCGAUGACAAUGAACUUAGGUUCGAUACGAAUCCACGGCCACGGGAAGACGAAUCCGAUAUGAUACACGAUCCUGCUGUGACUCCCCGUACAAAUGGAACUGCCCUUGUAUAGUCUUCUCCCCACCUCUCGAGUCAAUCUUUGUUUUUAAGGAGAGCUGCAUAAUUAUUCCAUAUCUCUGUUGUUACAUGUUCGUCCCGUGACUCAUUAUGUCACCUCGAGCCCAAGCCCAUCGUCAUAAACCCUAAGUACACAUAAUCGGAUUAGCGUCUUACAACUAUUUCCUAUUUUUAUUGCUUAAGGGUAGCUACAAUAAAAGUCCGGGCUAGGGUAUUGGAGAUUUUCCUUAUCACUCCAAAAGAAAGGCCCCGAUGUCCUUUCAUCUCCGACAUGUACAUGUGUGCUGCGUAUAAUUUCAUGACUCGUUAAUUAACCUGUUAACAAGGAAAGGCGAAUUAAUGUUCACAAAUACACCCCAUUAAUUAAGAUUUUGUCGCGUCAAUCCCAACAUCUUUUUUUUUAUUGUGUUCGUGAGUAGCAAUUCGGAACUCGCAAUUUAUAUAUCUUCUCUUCGUAAUGUGAUAAAUAAUAGAUCGUAAAGAAAUUUUGCAUAUAAGAAAAAGCCAAAAUUUAAUCCCAUUCAAAUUAUUUCUGGCAAAGCUCUCUACAAUUAUUAAGUUCAAUUAUCUUUUUUCGUUGACAAUCAAAGAUAUAACGUUGUUCAUGGACUAAUUUCUAUCAGGCAAACGUUAAUAAUCGACUGGUAAUAAUUUCAUGACAAUUCAUAUUUCCAUUGCCGGAUGACUUAUUAAAUGCCGGAAAUUAUCACGUUCAUUUCAUGGGUUUAUUGCAAAAUCCGAAUAUUAUUCGCUUCUUUUUUAUCUCUCAUUCGAGAUGUAAUAUCGUCAUAUUUUGCCAUUACAUACCUAGGAAUUACUAGCUCGUGAUAUUUUACAUCUACGUAAUGAAAAAUGCGCAAGAGCAAACAGAAAAAUGACGAAUUUGCGAUCGUAGUCGUACAAUUAUCUAGAACCAGUUGAAUAAGACGUACAUCGAACAAACAAGUUGAAAAUGACAUUGGACAUCUAACAAUUCGCUGAAAAUUGUGCAGUGUUUGCAUUCAAAGGAAGUUUACAUGCACGAUGUUUAAACAAAUUUUCUUUCUUCAGCUAGUUGCAUGUAAAUUAAUAAAAAUACUUUUGUUCGCUGAAUUCUUUCAGUUCUUGGUAUGAACUGCGAGAAUCUCCGGGAAUGUUAUCUGAAUUCCGGGGUUGGAGCGGUCUGCAGGAACGGUCAGAGCGCAUGCGACUGGAAUUACAUUCAACGAAAUGACACUGUGUGCGACUUCAACAGUAAGUAACCUUGACUUGUGACCGAUUGGAAGGUUUCCUUGCAUUUGAUUCCCGACGGUACAAAAGAAACAGGGCGUUGAAGCUUUAACCAGUAGUUUUUUGGAUUGCACGUGGAACACUCCUAUGCGGUAAAAUAAUAUAACUAGGUAGCAAUUACCUUUCGACUGCUCGCAUGCCUUCUUGCAAAUAAGUUGCGUUGCAAUUUUUGCGAUUGUAGAAGGCGAUAAGACGUAUUGGCAAGACUACGUAAACCAUCUGAAACGAAUCUUUUCGCAUAAGAACAAGAAAUAAUAAUAAUAUUCCUUGGAACUGCAUAUGUUUUCGUGCUUGCCAUAUUCUCAUU
This is a long non-coding RNA of Bombus pyrosoma, 4331 nucleotides long. RefSeq lists it as uncharacterized. Lineage: Eukaryota; Metazoa; Arthropoda; Insecta; Hymenoptera; Apidae. The transcript is spliced from 11 exons. The record is from RefSeq and is a predicted model, not a curated record.